This 449-nucleotide ribosomal RNA is filed under the name uncultured bacterium. RNAcentral's name for it is "bacterial SSU rRNA". It matches the Rfam family "Bacterial small subunit ribosomal RNA", at positions 355 to 796 of the family's 1533-position model. The record is from RNAcentral.
UCGAGAAUUUUUCGCAAUGGGCGCAAGCCUGACGAAGCGACGCCGUGUGAGCGAAGAAGGCCUUCGGGUUGUAAAGCUCUUUCGCUUGGGGACAAGAGAGAUGUGCUAAUAACACAUUGAUUUGAGGGUACCAGGUAAAGAAGCACCGGCUAACUCCGUGCCAGCAGCUGCGGUAAUACGGAGGGUGCAAGCAUUGAUCGGAAUUACUGGGCGUAAAGGGCGCGUAGGCGGUAUGGUAAGUCAGAUGUGAAAUUCCGCGGCUCAACUGCGGAGCUGCAUAUGAAACUGCCAAACUAGAGUGUAGUUAGGGAAAACGGAAUUCCACGUGUAGCGGUGAAAUGCGUAGAUAUGUGGAAGAACACCGGUGGUGAAGACGGUUUUCUGGGCUAUAACUGACGCUGAGGCGCGAAAGCUAGGGGAGCAAACAGGAUUAGAUACCCCCGUAGUCC